AGUGAACGCUGGCGGUAGGCCUAACACAUGCGAGUCGAACGGCAGCACAGUAAGAGCUUGCUCUUACGGGUGGCGAGUGGCGGACGGGUGAGGAAUACAUCGGAAUCUACUUUUUCGUGGGGGAUAACGUAGGGAAACUUACGCUAAUACCGCAUACGACCUACGGGUGAAAGCAGGGGAUCUUCGGACCUUGCGCGAUUGAAUGAGCCGAUGUCGGAUUAGCUAGUUGGCGGGGUAAAGGCCCACCAAGGCGACGAUCCGUAGCUGGUCUGAGAGGAUGAUCAGCCACACUGGAACUGAGACACGGUCCAGACUCCUACGGGAGGCAGCAGUGGGGAAUAUUGGACAAUGGGCGAAAGCCUGAUCCAGCCAUACCGCGUGGGUGAAGAAGGCCUUCGGGUUGUAAAGCCCUUUUGUUGGGAAAGAAAAGCAGCAGGUUAAGACCCCGCUGUUCGGACGGUACCCAAAGAAUAAGCACCGGCUAACUUCGG
This 491-nucleotide ribosomal RNA is filed under the name uncultured bacterium. Its description in RNAcentral is "partial 16S ribosomal RNA". It matches the Rfam family "Bacterial small subunit ribosomal RNA", at positions 29 to 506 of the family's 1533-position model. The record is from RNAcentral.